This 67-nucleotide transfer RNA is filed under the name Squatina aculeata (sawback angelshark). RNAcentral's name for it is "tRNA-Ser". Lineage: Eukaryota; Metazoa; Chordata; Chondrichthyes; Squatinidae. The record is from RNAcentral.
AAGAGAGGUCUGGGACACAAAGAACUGCUAAUUCUUUUUACCGUGGUUCAAAUCCACGGCUCACUUA